GAUGAACGCUGGCGGCGUGCCUAAUACAUGCAAGUCGAGCGAACAGACGAGGAGCUUGCUCCUCUGACGUUAGCGGCGGACGGGUGAGUAACACGUGGAUAACCUACCUAUAAGACUGGGAUAACUUCGGGAAACCGGAGCUAAUACCGGAUAAUAUAUUGAACCGCAUGGUUCAAUAGUGAAAGACGGUUUUGCUGUCACUUAUAGAUGGAUCCGCGCCGCAUUAGCUAGUUGGAAAGUUAACGGCUUACCAAGGCAACGAUGCGUAGCCGACCUGAGAGGGUGAUCGGCCACACUGGAACGGAGACACGGUCCAGACUCCUACGGGAGGCAGCAGUAGGGAAUCUUCCGCAAUGGGCGAAAGCCUGACGGAGCAACGCCGCGUGAGUGAUGAAGGUCUUCGGAUCGUAAAACUCUGUUAUUAGGGAAGAACAAAUGUGUAAGUAACUAUGCACGUCUUGACGGUACCUAAUCAGAAAGCCACGGCUAACUACGUG
RNAcentral lists this ribosomal RNA (497 nucleotides) under uncultured bacterium. Its description in RNAcentral is "partial 16S ribosomal RNA". It matches the Rfam family "Bacterial small subunit ribosomal RNA", at positions 28 to 507 of the family's 1533-position model. The record is from RNAcentral.